UCCUCCUUACAGAGGCAGUUUCGUCCGAGUUCCCGGCAUGACCCGCUGGUAACUAGGGGCGGGGGUUGCGCUCGCUGCGGGACUUAACCCAACAUCUCACGACACGAGCUGACGACAGCCAUGCACCACCUGUCACCCAGUCCGAAGAGGCACCUAUCUCUAGGUGUUUCCGGGUGAUGUCAAACCCAGGUAAGGUUCUUCGCGUUGCAUCGAAUUAAUCCGCAUGCUCCGCCGCUUGUGCGGGCCCCCGUCAAUUCCUUUGAGUUUCAGUCUUGCGACCGUACUCCCCAGGCGGCGAACUUAACGCGUUAGCUUCGAUACUGCGUGCCAAAUUGCACCCAACAUCCAGUUCGCAUCGUUUAGGGCGUGGACUAC
This 375-nucleotide unclassified non-coding RNA is filed under the name uncultured bacterium. Its description in RNAcentral is "contains 16S-23S intergenic spacer region". The record is from RNAcentral.